This is a long non-coding RNA of Uranotaenia lowii, 1072 nucleotides long. RefSeq lists it as uncharacterized. The transcript is spliced from 3 exons. Lineage: Eukaryota; Metazoa; Arthropoda; Insecta; Diptera; Culicidae. The record is from RefSeq and is a predicted model, not a curated record.
UUGACAAUGCGCUCGCGAUCAAACCGGCCAUCACGGACGAGUUGAACUUGCACUGUCGUCGUAAUAGCAUCACCACCAUUAGUCCGAAGAACAUUGUAUUUUUAAUCUUAAGCCUAAACUAUUUUAAGUUCAAACCAACAAAUUGAAUAACAAUUGUACGCUAAGUUGAAUCCGCGAGUUUGAUUGUGCAUGUUCGAGAAAAUCCUGUAACGGAGCUGCGCUUCUUACGUUUUUUUGGAUAAGUGAUAUAACCGAUAUCACAUCGGUAACGCAACUCUGAACGGUUGGCUGGAGGUCAACGACCUGGCUACGGACUCAUCAAGGGGUGACCAGACGACCAAGGAAUCAGGUCAGUAACAAAAGCCCAAGGAAAAGACUCGAUAAAAAAAUCGAGUUGAAUAGAACAUAAAUGUCCAUCAUCACACCUCCUUGACCACGAUAAUCGUUUCCAGGCAACUAGAUUUCCCGCAGCUGAUAAACCACAAUCUGGAUUACGCAAUAAUCGGUGUGCCCCCGGUUGAGCGACGUUUUCACCGCAGAAAAGGUGGAAGAACGAGGGACUCCCACGAAACAUAAAAAUGGCAGGAUACUCCGGCCGCCGUCGUCGUCAGUCGGCAACUUUCUUCUAAAAUUGGUUCCGGGAUUGGUGGCAGUAAAGAGAAAAAAUAUCUUUCCGACAGUCAGUGUCGGAUUGAGCUUUUGAGGGACCCAGAGAGGCACAAACAAAUGUUGUUGGUUAACGAAAAUUGAUGAUUUUAAAUGACAAAUAUCUAGCUCAAAUAGCUGUUUCUAUUCAACCUGUAUACAUAUCUCAGGUGGCGAUGGAAAUACCGUGCUAAGUGUUAGUAAAUGUUUUUUUUUGUAAACAUUGUAACCAUGACAAUUCGUAACGUCAGUUGCAUUUUCAAACAAACAACCAACAGCGAAAACUAUGGAGAAAAAAAUCAUUGCCAAUUGCUGUUUAAUAUUCUCGCCUAGGAUACAUAAACAUCCUGGCAAGUGACGUAGGAUUUGAUUACCUUUUUACUGUUUGAAUAACGAGUUCUGUAAUAGUGUGCGUGUUUGUUCAUAA